AUCCUUUUGUAGUUCACGAGUGUGAUGACUGGGUACUCACACGCUCGUGUGAGAUGUGCCACCCUUGCACCUUGUUACGAAGUCGGCACAUUAUCCAUCGGAUA
Molecule: small nucleolar RNA, 104 nt
Organism: Saimiri boliviensis boliviensis (Bolivian squirrel monkey)
Lineage: Eukaryota; Metazoa; Chordata; Mammalia; Primates; Cebidae
Product: small nucleolar RNA U13
Source: RefSeq, a predicted model, not a curated record